RNAcentral lists this ribosomal RNA (1589 nucleotides) under Escherichia coli. RNAcentral's name for it is "bacterial LSU rRNA". It matches the Rfam family "Bacterial large subunit ribosomal RNA", at positions 1252 to 2826 of the family's 2925-position model. Lineage: Bacteria; Pseudomonadati; Pseudomonadota; Gammaproteobacteria; Enterobacterales; Enterobacteriaceae. The record is from RNAcentral.
GAAGGUGUGCUGUGAGGCAUGCUGGAGGUAUCAGAAGUGCGAAUGCUGACAUAAGUAACGAUAAAGCGGGUGAAAAGCCCGCUCGCCGGAAGACCAAGGGUUCCUGUCCAACGUUAAUCGGGGCAGGGUGAGUCGACCCCUAAGGCGAGGCCGAAAGGCGUAGUCGAUGGGAAACAGGUUAAUAUUCCUGUACUUGGUGUUACUGCGAAGGGGGGACGGAGAAGGCUAUGUUGGCCGGGCGACGGUUGUCCCGGUUUAAGCGUGUAGGCUGGUUUUCCAGGCAAAUCCGGAAAAUCAAGGCUGAGGCGUGAUGACGAGGCACUACGGUGCUGAAGCAACAAAUGCCCUGCUUCCAGGAAAAGCCUCUAAGCAUCAGGUAACAUCAAAUCGUACCCCAAACCGACACAGGUGGUCAGGUAGAGAAUACCAAGGCGCUUGAGAGAACUCGGGUGAAGGAACUAGGCAAAAUGGUGCCGUAACUUCGGGAGAAGGCACGCUGAUAUGUAGGUGAAGUCCCUCGCGGAUGGAGCUGAAAUCAGUCGAAGAUACCAGCUGGCUGCAACUGUUUAUUAAAAACACAGCACUGUGCAAACACGAAAGUGGACGUAUACGGUGUGACGCCUGCCCGGUGCCGGAAGGUUAAUUGAUGGGGUUAGCGCAAGCGAAGCUCUUGAUCGAAGCCCCGGUAAACGGCGGCCGUAACUAUAACGGUCCUAAGGUAGCGAAAUUCCUUGUCGGGUAAGUUCCGACCUGCACGAAUGGCGUAAUGAUGGCCAGGCUGUCUCCACCCGAGACUCAGUGAAAUUGAACUCGCUGUGAAGAUGCAGUGUACCCGCGGCAAGACGGAAAGACCCCGUGAACCUUUACUAUAGCUUGACACUGAACAUUGAGCCUUGAUGUGUAGGAUAGGUGGGAGGCUUUGAAGUGUGGACGCCAGUCUGCAUGGAGCCGACCUUGAAAUACCACCCUUUAAUGUUUGAUGUUCUAACGUGGACCCGUAAUCCGGGUUGCGGACAGUGUCUGGUGGGUAGUUUGACUGGGGCGGUCUCCUCCUAAAGAGUAACGGAGGAGCACGAAGGUUGGCUAAUCCUGGUCGGACAUCAGGAGGUUAGUGCAAUGGCAUAAGCCAGCUUGACUGCGAGCGUGACGGCGCGAGCAGGUGCGAAAGCAGGUCAUAGUGAUCCGGUGGUUCUGAAUGGAAGGGCCAUCGCUCAACGGAUAAAAGGUACUCCGGGGAUAACAGGCUGAUACCGCCCAAGAGUUCAUAUCGACGGCGGUGUUUGGCACCUCGAUGUCGGCUCAUCACAUCCUGGGGCUGAAGUAGGUCCCAAGGGUAUGGCUGUUCGCCAUUUAAAGUGGUACGCGAGCUGGGUUUAGAACGUCGUGAGACAGUUCGGUCCCUAUCUGCCGUGGGCGCUGGAGAAUUGAGGGGGGCUGCUCCUAGUACGAGAGGACCGGAGUGGACGCAUCACUGGUGUUCGGGUUGUCAUGCCAAUGGCACUGCCCGGUAGCUAAAUGCGGAAGAGAUAAGUGCUGAAAGCAUCUAAGCACGAAACUUGCCCCGAGAUGAGUUCUCCCUGACUCCUUGA